This 72-nucleotide transfer RNA is filed under the name Bos taurus (domestic cattle). It matches the Rfam family "tRNA". Rfam says of the family: Transfer RNA (tRNA) molecules are approximately 80 nucleotides in length. Their secondary structure includes four short double-helical elements and three loops (D, anti-codon, and T loops). Lineage: Eukaryota; Metazoa; Chordata; Mammalia; Artiodactyla; Bovidae. RNAcentral also lists the same sequence under 4 other names. The record is from Rfam by way of RNAcentral.
UCCCUGGUGGCUCAGAUGGUAAAGUGUCUGCCUAUAGUGCAGGAGACCUGGGUUCGAUCCCUGGGUUGGGAA